RNAcentral lists this ribosomal RNA (491 nucleotides) under uncultured bacterium. RNAcentral describes it as "partial 16S ribosomal RNA". It matches the Rfam family "Bacterial small subunit ribosomal RNA", at positions 29 to 506 of the family's 1533-position model. The record is from RNAcentral.
AGUGAACGCUGGCGGUAGGCCUAACACAUGCAAGUCGAACGGCAGCACAGUAAGAGCUUGCUCUUACGGGUGGCGAGUGGCGGACAGGUGAGGAAUACAUCGGAAUCUACUUUUUCGUGGGGGAUAACGUAGGGAAACUUACGCUAAUACCGCAUACGACCUACGGGUGAAAGCAGGGGAUCUUCGGACCUUGCGCGAUUGAAUGAGCCGAUGUCGGAUUAGCUAGUUGGCGGGGUAAAGGCCCACCAAGGCGACGAUCCGUAGCUGGUCUGAGAGGAUGAUCAGCCACACUGGAACUGAGACACGGUCCAGACUCCUACGGGAGGCAGCAGUGGGGAAUAUUGGACAAUGGGCGCAAGCCUGAUCCAGCCAUACCGCGUGGGUGAAGAAGGCCUUCGGGUUGUAAAGCCCUUUUGUUGGGAAAGAAAAGCAGCAGGUUAAUACCCCGCUGUUCUGACGGUACCCAAAGAAUAAGCACCGGCGAACUUCGU